CAUGGAGUUUGAUCCUGGCUCAGGAUGAACGCUAGCGGCAGGCUUAACACAUGCAAGUCGAGGGGUAUAGUUCUUCGGAGCUAGAGACCGGCGCACGGGUGCGUAACGCGUAUGCAAUCUACCUUUCACAAAGGGAUAGCCCAGAGAAAUUUGGAUUAAUACCUUAUAGUAUAACGACUUCGCAUGGAGAUGUUAUUAAAGAUUUAUCGGUGAAAGAUGAGCAUGCGUCCCAUUAGCUAGUUGGUAAGGUAACGGCUUACCAAGGCUACGAUGGGGUAGGGGUCCUGAGAGGGAGAUCCCCCACACUGGUACUGAGACACGGACCAGACUCCGUAC
This 336-nucleotide ribosomal RNA is filed under the name uncultured Flavobacterium sp. RNAcentral describes it as "bacterial SSU rRNA". It matches the Rfam family "Bacterial small subunit ribosomal RNA", at positions 1 to 342 of the family's 1533-position model. The record is from RNAcentral. Lineage: Bacteria; Pseudomonadati; Bacteroidota; Flavobacteriia; Flavobacteriales; Flavobacteriaceae.